This 497-nucleotide ribosomal RNA is filed under the name uncultured bacterium. RNAcentral describes it as "partial 16S ribosomal RNA". It matches the Rfam family "Bacterial small subunit ribosomal RNA", at positions 28 to 507 of the family's 1533-position model. The record is from RNAcentral.
GAUGAACGCUGGCGGCGUGCCUAAUACAUGCAAGUCGAGCGAACAGACGAGGAGCUUGCUCCUCUGACGUUAGCGGCGGACGGGUGAGUAACACGUGGAUAACCUACCUAUAAGACUGGGAUAACUUCGGGAAACCGGAGCUAAUACCGGAUAAUAUAUUGAACCGCAUGGUUCAAUAGUGAAAGACGGUUUUGCUGUCACUUAUAGAUGGAUCCGCGCCGCAUUAGCUAGUUGGUAAGGUAACGGCUUACCAAGGCAACGAUGCGUAGCCGACCUGAGAGGGUGAUCGGCCACACUGGAACUAAGACACGGUCAAGACUCCUACGGGAGGCAGCAGUAGGGAAUCUUCCGCAAUGGGCGAAAGCCUGACGGAGCAACGCCGCGUGAGUGAUGAAGGUCUUCGGAUCGUAAAACUCUGUUAUUAGGGAAGAACAAAUGUGUAAGUAACUAUGCACGUCUUGACGGUACCUAAUCAGAAAGCCACGGCUAACUACGUG